Small nuclear RNA from Anolis carolinensis (green anole), 165 nucleotides. Its record names the gene U2. It matches the Rfam family "U2 spliceosomal RNA". From Rfam's summary of the family: U2 is a small nuclear RNA (snRNA) component of the spliceosome (involved in pre-mRNA splicing). NCBI's taxonomy places the organism in Eukaryota, Metazoa, Chordata, Lepidosauria, Squamata, Anolidae. The record is from Ensembl.
AUUUCUUCUUGCCUUUUUGGCUAAGAUCAAGUGUAGUAUCUGUUCUCAUCAGUUUCAUAUAUGAUAUGUUCUGUAUUGGAGAACUAUAUAUUAAAUUGGUGUUUUUAAAAAUUUGAAUUAAAAGGUAAUCCAAGGGGCAGGUGAGCAGAGAGACAGGUACUGUAA